UCAUGGCUCAGAUUGAACGCUGGCGGCAUGCUUUACACAUGCAAGUCGAACGGUAACAGGUUAAGCUGACGAGUGGCGAACGGGUGAGUAAUGCAUCGGAACGUGCCCGGUCGUGGGGGAUAACGCAGCGAAAGCUGCGCUAAUACCGCAUACGAUCUGAGGAUGAAAGCGGGGGACCGUAAGGCCUCGCGCGAUCGGAGCGGCCGAUGUCAGAUUAGGUAGUUGGUGGGGUAAAGGCCCACCAAGGCGACGAUCUGUAGCUGGUCUGAGAGGACGACCAGCCACACUGGGACUGAGACACGGUCCAGACUCCUACGGGAGGCAGCAGUGGGGAAUAUUGGACAAUGGGCGAAAGCCUGAUCCAGCCAUGCCGCGUGUGUGAAGAAGGUCUUCGGAUUGUAAAGCACUUUAAGUUGGGAGGAAGGGCAGUAAGCUAAUACCUUGCUGUUUUGACGUUACCGACAGAAUAAGCACCGGCUAACUCUGUG
RNAcentral lists this ribosomal RNA (488 nucleotides) under uncultured bacterium. RNAcentral describes it as "bacterial SSU rRNA". It matches the Rfam family "Bacterial small subunit ribosomal RNA", at positions 17 to 507 of the family's 1533-position model. The record is from RNAcentral.